GGAUUAGCUCAGUUGGUAGAGCAACGCCCUCGUAACGCGUAGGUCGCAGGUUCGAGCCCUGUUUCCAG
RNAcentral lists this transfer RNA (68 nucleotides) under chicken gut metagenome. It matches the Rfam family "tRNA". From Rfam's summary of the family: Transfer RNA (tRNA) molecules are approximately 80 nucleotides in length. The record is from RNAcentral.